CCUGUAGUGUCUUGAGACACACCCUGGGAGAUGCCCAGUGAGUACUUUACAAGGGAAGUCUGGGACUGAAGACAUGUAUUUGAGAGCUGAGGCCAUGGCAUCGGUAAGACUUCACAGGGGGGGAAAAAAAAUCAAAUGCAUAGAGAAAGGAGAAGUAGGGAAAGCAAAAAGGCAGAGACCACAAAGCAUCUCCCCCAUGAAAGGAGCAAGUGAGACAAGAGGAAGUUAAAGAGCCUGGGAGUGAGCGGAGGCAGGGGUAGAUGUCAAGGGGAGGAGAACCAGAAGGCAAAACGGCUCUACUGUUUGUGAGGAAGGAGAGGGUUUCAGGAAGGAACGACCGGUCAACACUGUACAUUUUCAAAGGUCAGAGAAUUUAAGAGCUGAAAGUUGUGCAGUACGUUCUGAGAACUAAGAGGAAUUUGGAGACCUUCUACCGUGGAGAGGUGCAGGCGGAAGCAAGGAUUUGGUUUUCUCCUGUAUUUCUUCAACCAGAAUCCCCCGCAGAAGCUGGAGUGGAAGGUGCCCAGCAUGGUAACAACCAGCACACAGACAGAACCUGGAAAAGACAAUUUGUUAAUGUUUAUCCUGGCCAGGGGAGCAGGCUGCUGACUGACAGCCACAAAUUCUAUCCAAAAGAGAAGAGGUUGAUUCAUUUGGCUCUACUCGCCUGGGAUGAAAAAAUUCUUGCUGAUACAUCCCAGCCUUUGCUUGGCAGAAUGGUGUUCAAGGAGAGGUAUUGCUGGGGGUCGUCCUGAGUGGAUUGUGGGCUUGCUCAUGUAAUCUGGAAAGUGGGUUCCGAGCCUAAGGACUAUGACACGCAGACUUUGGGGUCUGGAAUUUGAACCCCCAUCGGUUUCCCCUACCCCCAAAAGGAAGGACAGACAUCUCAUGACAACUGAGAAUGCUCUCUUGGUCAGCAAAAUCAACUGUUGAAAUGAUUCCCUGCCGGAUGAUUCAGGCCAAGACAGGAAGGUCUCAGUCCAGUUACAUGUUAAUGGUGCGGGCAGUGCGCAGUUUCAUCCCUCAAAUCAAUCCUUUCUGUAAACUGUGCAGUGUUGGUCAAUGCUAGUCUUCCAGUAUCCAAUCAAGCAUAUCAUUCCCGAAUCCAGAUUUCCAACCCUACCUACAGCUUGAGAAAAGGACUGGCUCUAAAGAUGCAUUUGAGAGGCGCCCCGCUGGGUCAUCCAAUAAAAAACAUUGUUUCUGGGGGCGCCUGAGUGGCUCAGUGGGUUGAGGCCUUUGCCGUCCGCUCAGGUCAUGAUCUCAAGGUCCUGGAUCCAGCCCCGCGUAGGGCUCUCUGCUCGGGGGGAGCCUGCUUGCCCAUCUCUCUCUGCCUGCCUCUCUGCCUGCUUGUGAUCUCGGUCUGUCAAAUAAAUAAAUAAUUGGGUGCCUGGGUGGCUCAGUGGGUUAAGCCGCUGCCUUCGGCUCAGGUCAUGAUCUCAGGGUCCUGGGAUCGAGUCCCGCAUCGGGCUCUCUGCUCAGCAGGGAGCCUGCUUCCCUCUCUCUCUCUCUCUGCCUGCC
Molecule: long non-coding RNA, 1521 nt
Organism: Mustela lutreola (European mink)
Lineage: Eukaryota; Metazoa; Chordata; Mammalia; Carnivora; Mustelidae
Exons: 3
Source: RefSeq, a predicted model, not a curated record